CACGCAAGAAGAAAACUAAGCAUAUUAUUAUACAUGCCCAAUACAACAUGUAAUUUUUUAGGGGCAAUACAACAUGUAUUACGUUGCAAGACAUGCCCAAAACAACAUCUAUUUAUGACAAGAGAUUAUAAUUCCAGCAAUGCUGGUAAACCGAAUCAAGAUCUUCUUCGGCUCUGCAAAACCAGAGGCCGAUAUCAGCAAGGACAACAGGAAACAGUCCAAACAUAAGGAUUCAAGGAAUCGUUUGCUAGUGUGGAUGGACUUCAUUCACAAGUCAGAGAAGCAGAAAUAAUGCAGCGAGUCGACCCAGAACAGGUAGCCCUGCCUCCUCCUACGCGUAGCCUUGCAGCAAGAGGACCAGCGGGGUUCUUUCAGUUGGAAGAACCACGAAACAAUACGCCGAAUCAACUCGCUUCUGCGUAAAUGGCGUACCGCCCCUUCCUCUUAUGAAAAAGCAGGGUGGCCUGUUGCUUUGGAAGCUGGCCUGGGCUAGCUAACGAACGUCCAGCUGAAGCCUCCCCUGCAGGAACAAGACACGGAGCAAGUGACACAAGCCGAUCCCCAUAUUGUUGAGGCCCAGCAACAGAACUGCUCUCUGUCCGAAACGAUGCAAACUGGUCUCCAUGGAGCUAUGUGGAGCAGGUACCAGGCGAAAUGCGCCUGGGAGCACGCACCAGCACGCGGCGCCUUGCACCACCAGCUGCUGUAACAUCAAAUUGACCUAAUCCACAGGCAGUCCGCCCAUGUAAGUAUAUAUAUAGGCAGGGAGCAUCGACUGUUUUCUUCAGACCUGGGAAACAGUUUUGAGUUUUGAUCAGUUCAGCAGCUUAAGAAAAAUACCAGAAUGGACUCCGGCGAGCAGGGUGAGACCUCCAAGGCCCCCCUGAACAAGGGGGUAAGUAGAGGAGUGUCCAUACUGGACCUCAUACUUCGCGUCAUUGCCGUCAUCAGCACCCUCGCGAGCGCCAUUGCCAUGGGGACUACCAAUGAGACGCUUCCUCUGUUCACGCCAUUCAUCCAGUUCAAGGCCCGAUACAGCGAUCUCCCGGCUCUCACGUACAUGCAGAAUAAUGUUUCAGUGCCUGGUAGCAUUACUUUCAGAUAAAAUAAGGUUAUGAUCUGAUGCUCCAACUGUUUGAAUUUCAUGUUGACACUUGGCAGGUUCUUCGUGGUGGCAAAUUCUAUUGUGAGCGCCUAUCUCAUCCUUUCGCUCCCACUGUCAAUUGCGCACAUAAUUAGGAGCGGGGCUAAAUAUAGCAGGCUGGUCUUGAUCAUUUUCGACGCGGUAAGACUAUAUCUUGCUCUAAUUCAAAGUGUGCCAGUGCUGAACCGUUCAAUUAAUAUCAUGCCAUCCUGCAUGAAACUAUGCAUGAUUACUAACCUAGUAUACUGAAGAAAGAGAAGCAUGCACC
Molecule: long non-coding RNA, 1412 nt
Filed under: Triticum aestivum (bread wheat)
Lineage: Eukaryota; Viridiplantae; Streptophyta; Magnoliopsida; Poales; Poaceae
Description: long non-coding RNA (TAES_LNC017694)
Source: RNAcentral